GUUGAACGCUGGCGGCGUGCUUAACACAUGCAAGUCGAACGAUGAAGCCCAGCUUGCUGGGUGGAUUAGUGGCGAACGGGUGAGUAACACGUGAGUAACCUGCCCUUAACUCUGGGAUAAGCCUGGGAAACUGGGUCUAAUACCGGAUAGGAGCGUCCACCGCAUGGUGGGUGUUUGAAAGAUUUAUCGGUUUUGGAUGGACUCGCGGCCUAUCAGCUUGUUGGUGAGGGAAUGGCUCACCAAGGCGACGACGGGUAGCCGGCCUGAGAGGGUGACCGCCUACACUGGGACUGAGACAAGCCCCAGACUCCUAUAGGAGGCAACGGUGGGAAGAAUUACACAAUGAGCGCAAGCGUGUUGAGGCGAGGCAGCGUGAGGGAUGACGGCCAACGGGUUAUAAAGCUCAUUCAGUAGGGAAGAAGCGAAAGUGACGGUACCUGCAGAAGAAGCACCGGCUAACUUCGUG
This 466-nucleotide ribosomal RNA is filed under the name uncultured bacterium. RNAcentral describes it as "partial 16S ribosomal RNA". It matches the Rfam family "Bacterial small subunit ribosomal RNA", at positions 28 to 507 of the family's 1533-position model. The record is from RNAcentral.